UACGGAGGGAGCUAGCGUUGUUCGGAAUUACUGGGCGUAAAGCGCGCGUAGGCGGCUUUGUAAGUUAGAGGUGAAAGCCCGGAGCUCAACUCCGGAACUGCCUUUAAAACUGCAUCGCUUGAAUCCAGGAGAGGUGAGUGGAAUUCCGAGUGUAGAGGCGAAAUUCGUAGAUAUUCGGAAGAACACCAGUGGCGAAGGCGGCUCACUGGACUGGUAUUGACGCUGAGGUGCGAAAGCGUGGGGAGCAAACAGG
RNAcentral lists this ribosomal RNA (253 nucleotides) under uncultured bacterium. RNAcentral describes it as "partial 16S ribosomal RNA". It matches the Rfam family "Bacterial small subunit ribosomal RNA", at positions 524 to 776 of the family's 1533-position model. The record is from RNAcentral.